CCAGACUCCUACGGGAGGCAGCAGUGAGGAAUAUUGGUCAAUGGCCGAGAGGCUGAACCAGCCAAGUCGCGUGAGGGAAGACGGCCCUACGGGUUGUAAACCUCUUUUGUCGGGGAGCAAAGAGAGUCACGUGUGACUCAUUGAGAGUACCCGAAGAAAAAGCAUCGGCUAACUCCGUGCCAGCAGCCGCGGUAAUACGGAGGAUGCGAGCGUUAUCCGGAUUUAUUGGGUUUAAAGGGUGCGCAGGCGGAGGUGCAAGUCAGCGGUCAAAUUGCGGGGCUCAACCCCGUACUGCCGUUGAAACUGCAUCCCUUGAGUGCACACAGGGAUGCCGGAAUUCAUGGUGUAGCGGUGAAAUGCUUAGAUAUCAUGAAGAACUCCGAUCGCGAAGGCAAGUGUCCGGGGUGCAACUGACGCUGAGGCUCGAAAGUGCGGGUAUCAAACAGGAUUAGAUACCCGUGUA
Molecule: ribosomal RNA, 463 nt
Filed under: uncultured bacterium
Lineage: Bacteria
Description: bacterial SSU rRNA
Rfam family: Bacterial small subunit ribosomal RNA
Source: RNAcentral